ACGCUAGCGGGAGGCCUAACACAUGCAAGCCGAGCGGUAUUUGUCUUUCGGGACAGAGAGAGCGGCGUACGGGUGCGGAACACGUGUGCAACCUACCUUUAUCAGGGGGAUAGCCUUUCGAAAGGAAGAUUAAUACCCCAUAAUAUAUUGAUUGGCAUCAGUUAAUAUUGAAAACUCCGGUGGAUAGAGAUGGGCACGCGCAAGAUUAGAUAGUUGGUAGGGUAACGGCCUACCAAGUCAGUGAUCUUUAGGGGGCCUGAGAGGGUGAUCCCCCACACUGGUACUGAGACACGGACCAGACUCCUACGGGAGGCAGCAGUGAGGAAUAUUGGACAAUGGGUGAGAGCCUGAUCCAGCCAUCCCGCGUGAAGGACGACGGCCCUAUGGGUUGUAAACUUCUUUUGUAUAGGGAUAAACCUACUCUCGUGAGAGUAGCUGAAGGUACUAUACGAAUAAGCACCGGCUAACUCCGUGCCAGCAGCCGCGGUAAUACGGAGGGUGCAAGCGUUAUCCGGAUUUAUUGGGUUUAAAGGGUCCGUAGGCGGAUCUGUAAGUCAGUGGUGAAAUCUCAUAGCUUAACUAUGAAACUGCCAUUGAUACUGCAGGUCUUGAGUAAAGUAGAAGUGGCUGGAAUAAGUAGUGUAGCGGUGAAAUGCAUAGAUAUUACUUAGAACACCAAUUGCGAAGGCAGGUCACUAUGUUUUAACUGACGCUGAUGGACGAAAGCGUGGGGAGCGAAAC
Molecule: ribosomal RNA, 741 nt
Filed under: uncultured bacterium
Lineage: Bacteria
Description: bacterial SSU rRNA
Rfam family: Bacterial small subunit ribosomal RNA
Source: RNAcentral